AGGGUUUGAUUCUGGCUCAGGAUGAACGCUGGCGGCGUGCCUAAUACAUGCAAGUCGAACGAAUCUCUUUUAGAGAUGAGUGGCGAACGGGUGAGUAAUACAUAGGUAACCUGCCCCUGUGCGGGGGAUAACAGGAGGAAACUCCUGCUAAUACCGCAUAGCCAUGAGCACCGCAUGGAGCUCAUGCCAAAUAUCCUUUAUGGGAUAGCGCAGGGAUGGACCUAUGGCGCAUUAGCUGGUUGGCGGGGCAACGGCCCACCAAGGCAACGAUGCGUAGCCGGCCUGAGAGGGCGGACGGCCACAUUGGGACUGAGACACGGCCCAG
RNAcentral lists this ribosomal RNA (325 nucleotides) under uncultured bacterium. Its description in RNAcentral is "bacterial SSU rRNA". It matches the Rfam family "Bacterial small subunit ribosomal RNA", at positions 8 to 334 of the family's 1533-position model. The record is from RNAcentral.